Molecule: ribosomal RNA, 1546 nt
Filed under: Triticum aestivum (bread wheat)
Lineage: Eukaryota; Viridiplantae; Streptophyta; Magnoliopsida; Poales; Poaceae
Description: partial small subunit ribosomal RNA
Source: RNAcentral
CGGGCCGCCCGGUGCCGCGUGGCGUCGGUGUUCGGCAAGCGGGGGUGUUUUAGACGGGCGGCCGAGGGUGGCCCUAAGGGGGCACGGUUACCGCGCGCGGGUGGAGUGAGGGAGAAUAGAGGCGGAGUGGGUGAGCGCGGUGCGGGGAAUAGGGGAGGUGAAUGUUUGGGUGUGUUUGAUGUGCGGGUGGGGAGUGGGGAACUAGCUAGUGUGUAGUUUGGGGAGGUGUGCGAGCGGGCGCGCGCGGUGCCUGCGUCGUUACCGGCGGGAGUGGCGGAGGUAGCGGUGGAGGUCGCGGAAGCGGCGCUUCGGCGCGGACCGGGCGGGCGGCCGCGCGGAGAGGCAGAGGACGAGGCGCAGGUCGCCGCUGUUGUUGUGGGGGAGCGAGAGGCGGAGGUAGUUCUGGAAGAGCCGGCGCGACCGCGAGAGCAGGCACGAGGAGAGGAGGCGGCGGUGGAGGGGCGGCGGCCGCCGGCGGCUGUAGCGGCCGGACUGGGGCACGUUCCUCAGGUUCCGCAAGCGGUUCGCCCUCUUCGUCAGCCACUUCUUCGAGUUGAGCAGCGAGUUCUUCAUGCGGGGGCUGAGCCGGGGGCGCGAGCGGUAGGUCCGGUGGUAGCUCUUCUGGUUCGCGGCCAAGCUCUUGAUGCCGUUCAAGCCGGACGAGACGCCGAGGCUGCCGGACGGGGUGGAGUAGCAGUCGCCGCUGGUCGCCGUGACCCCGCUCAAGUAGUGGGGGCCGCACGAGAAGGAGAUGUAGCGGCCGACCUAGCCCACCCAGCCGGCGUCGAUGGAGUAGCGGCAGUCGCCGCUCUUCUUCGGGCGGUACGCCCUCUAGUAGUAGCUGCAGCUCGAGCGGCGGUCCUAGUAGGGGUCCCCGAAGUAGACCGGGCAGCGGCGGAUGGCGCUCGAGUAGUUGCCGCUGGAGCAGCAGCUGCUGCGGCUGUAGCCGAUGAUUCAUCGACGGUACGCACGCACCAACCGAUCAGUCAGGGUUGAGUCUACCCGUCGCCUCCUAACUCCCGAACACCACAGCUAGACGCACCCGAACCACAUCCUCGACUAUCCUAGUACCUCUUUACCUUCGAGCUAGAGAACAUAAAUUCUUUGACUUGGGUUAGAACAUAUUGAUAACAGAAGAGAGAAGUGUAUACACACAAAAUGUUAACAAGUUUAACAACUCUUGGUAAAGUACUACGUGUCGUAUGGUACUCACUUUUACACGGUUGUAUGUAUCCUUUGAGUUCAAACUUUUUUCCAACUAUAAAAAUAUUAUUAGGCAUGAGGGAGGCAAGGAUUUAUAUUCAGAAAGAUGUCUAAAGAGAUGUUUGAUAUAUGCCUACAUAGAUCUGUAUAAAAUCUCACCUCUAAGUGAGUAAAACGAGGCUUACAUCAGGUAUUACUUUAGAGAUUUUUCUGAAUAUAAAUCUUUGCCUCCCUCAUAUUCGGUUUACAGAUGAUCGUUUGAAUUGUAUGUACCAGGUAACCAGGUGUACCUCGUUAUACUGUCUAGACGCAACGAUGAGUCUUUGUGAUGUGGUUGAAACGG